CUACGUAGUGUGCAAGCGUUAAUCGGAAUUACUGGGCGUAAAGCGUGCGCAGGCGGUUAUGUAAGACAAAAGUGAAAUCCCCGGGCUCAACCUGGGAACUGCCUUUGUGACUGCAUAGCUCGAGUACGGUAGAGGGGGAUGGAAUUCCGCGUGUAGCAGUGAAAUGGGUAGAUAAGCGGAGGAACACCGAUGGCGAAGGCAAUGCCCUGGACUUGUACUGACGCUCAUGCAGGAAAGCGUGGGGAGCAAACAGGAUUAGAUACCCUGGUAGCCCACGCCCUAAACGAUGUCAACUGGUUGUUGGGUCUUCACUGACUCAGUAACGAAGCUAACGCGUGAAGUUGACCGCCUGGGGAGUACGGCCGCAAGGUUGAAACACAAAUGAAUUGACGGGG
Molecule: ribosomal RNA, 395 nt
Filed under: uncultured bacterium
Lineage: Bacteria
Description: partial 16S ribosomal RNA
Rfam family: Bacterial small subunit ribosomal RNA
Source: RNAcentral